AACGCACAUUGCGCCUCUUGGUAUUCCGAGGGGCAUGUCUGUUUGAGCGUCAGUACACACCUCCUCCGCGGCCUUUUCUGGCCUGUGGCGGGUCUUGGGACGGCUACCGCCCUCCGGGGCGUUGGCCUCCCUAAUGUGGCACGCUUGCGGGCUUUCCAGUCAGAUGCCGACGUAGUAGAUUUCAACUCGUUGCUGCCUGCUGGGAGGCCCCGCCCGGACUCAAACUUCUAUGGUUUGACCUCUGAUCAGACAAGGAUACCCGCUGAACUUAA
This 272-nucleotide unclassified non-coding RNA is filed under the name uncultured fungus. RNAcentral describes it as "partial contains 5.8S ribosomal RNA, internal transcribed spacer 2, and large subunit ribosomal RNA". The stretch from base 1 to 52 matches the Rfam family "5.8S ribosomal RNA", at positions 103 to 154 of the family's 154-position model. The record is from RNAcentral. RNAcentral also lists the same sequence under 1 other name. Lineage: Eukaryota; Fungi.